GACGAACCGUGCGAACGUUGUUCGGAAUCACUGGGCUUAAAGGGCGCGUAGGCGGGCAGGCAAGUCAGGGGUGAAAGCCCACGGCUCAACCGUGGAAGCGCCUUUGAUACUGCCGGUCUCGAGGGAGGUAGGGGCGUGCGGAACUUCCGGUGGAGCGGUGAAAUGCGUAGAUAUCGGAAGGAACACCGGUGGCGAAAGCGGCGCGCUGGACCUCUUCUGACGCUGAGGCGCGAAAGCCAGGGGAGCAAACGGG
This 253-nucleotide ribosomal RNA is filed under the name uncultured bacterium. RNAcentral's name for it is "partial 16S ribosomal RNA". It matches the Rfam family "Bacterial small subunit ribosomal RNA", at positions 524 to 776 of the family's 1533-position model. The record is from RNAcentral.